This 2615-nucleotide long non-coding RNA is filed under the name Homo sapiens (human). Its description in RNAcentral is "HSALNT0216323". The record is from RNAcentral. Lineage: Eukaryota; Metazoa; Chordata; Mammalia; Primates; Hominidae.
GACAGGGUCUCCCUCUGUCUCCCAGGCUGGAGUGCAGUGGCUAGAGCUCGCUGUUACUUCAAACUCCUGGGCUCAAGUGUGUGCCACCAUGCUCUGCACCCAGGCUGGAGUGCAAUGGCGCCAUCUCUGCUCACUGCAACCUCCGCCUCCUGGGUUCAAGCGAUUCUCCUGCCUCAGCCUCCUGAGUAGCUGGGAUUAAAGCUGCCUGCCACCUGCACAGACGGGAUCUCGCUAUGUCACCGGGCGCCAUGGCUCAAGCCUGUAAUCCCAGCACUUUGGAAGUCCGAGGCGGGCGGAUCACGAGGCCAGGAGUUCAAGACCAGCCUGGCCAAUAUGGUGAAACCCCGUCUCUACUAAAAAUACAAAAAUUAGCCGGGUGUAGUGGCGGGUGCCUGUAAUCUUAGCUACUCGGGAGGCUGAGGCAGAGGUUGCAGUGAGCCCAGAUCGUGCCACUGGACUCCAGCCUGGGCGACAGAGUGAGACUCUGGAUAAAAAAAAAAUUAAUGAAAGGAAAAAGGCAAGGAGGAAUCCCAACGAUGACAGGUUGAAAGCUGCAGAGGAGACUGAUGGGGAGUGACCUGUGAGGUAGCAGGACCAGGUGAACUGGAAUCCCCAGGUCCAGAUAAGUGAGGGUUUCCAGGAGGAGGAGUGGUCGACUCAGCUGCUGCUGAGAAGCUCAGCGAGACCAAGAAGUGACCCCCGGAUUGGGCAGCGGAGAGGUUGUAGGUUACCUUAGCAGCAGUUAAGGGGUGGGGACACAGCCCUGCUGGAUGGGGUGAUGAGAGGCUGGGACGGGAAGGGGUGGAGGAGGUGAGUGUAGGGAAGUCUACAGAAAUGUCUGAAGGGAGGGAGAAAUGGCCAGAGGCAGGAGAGGGUUUGGGGGCAGGAGUCGGUCCAGAGUGAGGCUGAUGGCACAGAAAAGCCUCGAGGGGAGGGCAGCGGGAUGGGGUCCUAGGCCUGAGGAGGACGUGAGUACCCGACAGGGAAGUUUGUCUGUUUGGGUACUGGGAGAGGAGAAAGAUCCUGAAGGCUUUCGUUUUUCUCUGAAGAAUGAGGUUGAUCCUUCUAGUCUCGUGGCAGAACUUUGUAGACACCAAGCGAGCGGGGCAGCGUGUUCUGGACCUCAUUCCUCACACAGGGCUCACCUCCGGAUGAGUCAGAGGCCUUAGCCGGUGGCCCAGCCCCGGGAAUGCCACCCCGGUUCUGUACCCUGCCCAGGCCAGCUGACAGGGUGUAUUGGGGCACACACCUGCAGCAUCCAGGGCACUCCAAGGAGAGGGACGUACUUUUGAGGAGAGUCUAAAAGUCUAAGUCCCCCACCUGAACUUGGUGGGGGAAGGGCUUCUAUACCAGGAGGGCUCCCAGCCCUGUUUCUUAAAGGCCAUUUAGGCAGAAGUGAACGUGGUCUCUUCAAUAAAGUUAAUAAUGGUUCAUGCUGCAGAAAAUGUUCAAGACAAAACCCUGCUUAUUUACUCAGGCUUUAAAACCAUAAAACUCCCAAAUUCUCCCUGUAGCUAUUUAUAUCCAGAGCUAGUCCCCAAAUUAAGCUCAGGUUUGAAGUAACUUAAAAGAAAAAUAGCCUUCCCUGCUUUAAAAAGAUUUUCCGUAUAGACCUCCACUGGUCUAAUUACGAAGGGCGCGUAGUUUCAGGGUUGGCUGGGGGUAGGGCACCGGGACCUCCAAGGCAGUUACACUCCUCAGCCUCCUAACAGCUGUACGGCUGCCCGGUGGUCCCUCUCCAAGGCAGCGGCUCUCAGGCUAGCCUCAGCCUACCCCACCCGCCCGCACCCCGUGUUCUCCCUCGUGGGGGUGCCGGGGGGAGUAGGGAGGCGGGGCGGGCGGCAGGUCCGGAAAAGUGGCUGCCCUCGCCCCGAAAGAAGUUGACCCUCCUCCCGUGCCGAGAGCUUGGGAUGAAAAUAGCUUCUUCCUCUUUACCCUUCCUGGACCCCCGCCCCAGGACGACUGGGCCCCUUCAUUCAUCUUUCAGCGGCCACCCAGGCGGCUUGGGCGUCCCCACGCCGGGACUCUGUGCCCCGGGGACCCACGGGGACCCUCCCUUGGGCCUCUGAAGCCGCGGCGCACCCCGCACCCAAGCCACCCCGGGGGCCCCGGCCUCCCCCACCCAAUUAGCGGGCAGCACCGCAGACCCGAGUCCCCACGCAGCUCGCGCCAGGGGAGGCGGCCGCCUGGGAAGCCCGUCCCCCGCGCCGCGGCCCCCGCCCCCGCCAGCCCCGCGUCCCCUGGGAAAGGCGGGGGCGCAGCGAGUUUCCCCCAAUUAGUUUCCUCUUUGUAUGGAGUCUUAGCGCGCCCGUACUCCUCCGCGCAGCGGAAAGUAGUCCCGGCCGGGCGCUCCGCGGCUUCCCAGCGCCAGACACAUUUUACUUUGAGAAGUCGACGGGACUCUCAGCGGGGUCCUUCAGAUGGGGGGCCAGAGGCUGCGGGAGGCGUGCGCGGGCAGCAAGGGCAGGGGCCGCGGCCAAGGGUAGGGGGCGGGGAGGGCCGCGAACUCCUCGCCGCUGCCUGGAGAGAUGGAUCAUGGGGCGUAGGGAGAUGGCAAACCUCAAACCACGUACGGCGGGCGAUACGCGUCAACCGAACCUCGCCAACGGAAGCCC